GCGAAGCUGCGGGGUGCGGCAGGAGACAUGUAUCCCCGGGGCUUAUCGAUCCAAAUGGGAGCUGUACCUGUGCCGUCCCGUGGGGCGGCGCACACGGCGCCCACCUACGUUGUAGGUCUCCGGGAUCGAUCCUCCACCGGCUCUCGCGGCUCGCU
Molecule: non-coding RNA, 155 nt
Filed under: Hyphomicrobiales bacterium
Lineage: Bacteria; Pseudomonadati; Pseudomonadota; Alphaproteobacteria; Hyphomicrobiales
Description: Rhizobiales bacterium (bioreactor metagenome) 6S RNA
Rfam family: 6S / SsrS RNA
About the family: E. coli 6S RNA was the first non coding RNA to be sequenced, but its function was unknown until recently.
Source: RNAcentral